Molecule: long non-coding RNA, 589 nt
Organism: Zingiber officinale
Lineage: Eukaryota; Viridiplantae; Streptophyta; Magnoliopsida; Zingiberales; Zingiberaceae
Exons: 2
Source: RefSeq, a predicted model, not a curated record
AUCACAACAGCUUCUGGAGUUAAGAUUCGUAAAGGCAGAUAUAUAGCUCUAGAUAUGGAGGCAUUCUGAAGAGAGAACAAUAAAGGUUGUCCAAAAGAGCUUGAGAAUUAUGCUCGUAGGAUUUUGGACAAGUGUCAAGGCUCACCAUUAGCUAUUGUAGCAAUUGGCAGUUUAUUAUCAUUCAAGGAAAAUAGUGAAAUUGAAUGGAAGAAAGUUCAUGAACGCCUACAUUGGGAGUUUGAAAACAACUCUUCGCUUGAUGAAGUGAAGACAUCUUCCCUGAAGAUUAUGAAAUAAGAAGGAAGAAAAUAAUCCGAUUGUGGGUAGCUGAAGGAUUCGUGGAGGCAAGGAGCAGUAACCGAUCAAUGGAAGAGGAGGCUGAAGACUAUCUUGCUGAACUUGUGGAUCGGUCCAUGCUUCAGGUGCUGCAUAGAAAUUUUUUUGGUAGGCCGAAAGCUUUCAGAAUGCAUGAUGUUGUAAGAGAGGUAACACUAGCAAUAUCUGUUGGGUUCGGAGCGCAGCGGAAGACUUAUAAUGAAUCAUGGAUCUUUCGUGGUACAUAUAGUUUUACACAAAAAAUAAUAUAAAA